UGAUGCCGUGAACCUGCUUUGGUCUGACUU
Molecule: non-coding RNA, 30 nt
Filed under: Mus musculus (house mouse)
Lineage: Eukaryota; Metazoa; Chordata; Mammalia; Rodentia; Muridae
Source: RNAcentral